UUUUUCAUUUGGUUUCUAAAAUUGUAGUCAGUGUAAUCCUUCCAAUUAUAAAUGAAAAGAGAUAUUUUGGUCAUAUAAAAAUUAUUGCAAUUGUUGAUAUAUAUAUAUAUAUAUAUUUACAAAUGAUAUAGUAAGUUCCUUGAAAAUAAAAAUAAAUAAUCAAGCAUUGCAUUUCAUGCAUCAGUUGCAUAAGCAGGUUUCCCACAUAAUCACACACAAAUUUGCAUGAAAAACGCAAUCUUAAGAUGCAUAACAUUCAGA
RNAcentral lists this long non-coding RNA (261 nucleotides) under Lathyrus oleraceus (garden pea). RNAcentral describes it as "Pisum sativum (pea) long non-coding RNA (PSAT_LNC027209)". The record is from RNAcentral. Lineage: Eukaryota; Viridiplantae; Streptophyta; Magnoliopsida; Fabales; Fabaceae.